RNAcentral lists this unclassified non-coding RNA (233 nucleotides) under uncultured fungus. RNAcentral describes it as "sequence contains ITS1, 5.8S rRNA gene". The stretch from base 185 to 233 matches the Rfam family "5.8S ribosomal RNA", at positions 1 to 49 of the family's 154-position model. The record is from RNAcentral. Lineage: Eukaryota; Fungi.
UCUCCGUAGGUGAACCUGCGGAGGGAUCAUUACCGAGCGAGGGCCCCCGGCCCGACCUCCAACCCUUUGUGUUUCUGACUGUGUUGCCUCGGGGGCGACCCGGCCCUCUGGGCGUCGGGGCCCCCGGUGGCUCACACCUCAACUCUUGCAUCUGUGCGUCUGAGUAACAUAUUGAAUCAAUCAAAACUUUCAACAACGGAUCUCUUGGUUCUGGCAUCGAUGAAGAACGCAGC